Molecule: long non-coding RNA, 1801 nt
Organism: Oncorhynchus tshawytscha (Chinook salmon)
Lineage: Eukaryota; Metazoa; Chordata; Actinopteri; Salmoniformes; Salmonidae
Source: Ensembl
CUGGGGCAAAUAAAAGGUCACUCUAAAAUAUGCAAUUCCACAGUUGUCUCAGGUUUUGAGGGAGCGUGCAAUUGGUAGGCUGACUGCAGGAAUGCCCACCAGAUCUGUUGCCAGAGAAUUGAAUGUUAAUUUCUCUACCAUAACCCGCCUCCAACAUCAUUUUAAAGCAUUUGGAAGUCCGUCCAACCGGCCUCACAACAGCAGACCACGUGUAACCAAGCCAGCCCAGGACCUCCACAUCUGGCUUCUUCACCUGCGGGAUCGUAUGAGACCAGCCACCUGGACAGCUGAUGAAACGGUGGGUUUACCCAACCAAAUAAUUUCUGCAGUUCAGCGUUGUAACUGACUUCAAUGGGCAAAUGCUCACCUUCGAUGGCCACUGGCAUGCUGGAGAUGUGUGCUCUUUACAAAUGAAUCUCGGUUUCAACUGUACCGGGCAGGUAGUAUGUGUGUGGGCGAGUGGUUUGCUGAUGUCAACAUUGUGAAUAGAGUGCCCCAUGGUGGGGUUAUGGUAUGGACAGGCAUAAGCUACUGACAACGAACACAAUGGCAUUUUAUUGAUUACAAUUUGAAUGCACAGAGAUACCGUGACGAGAUCCUGAGGCCCAUUGUCGUGCCAUUCAUUUGCCACCAUCACAUGUUUCAGCAUAAUGCACGGCUCCAUGCAUGAUGCAAUGUCUCAGUUCCUCCAUGGCCUGUAUACUCACCUGAAAUGUCACUCAUUGAGCAUGUUUGGGAUGUUCUGGAUGGAUGUGUACAACAUUGUGUUCCAGUUCUUGCCAAUUUCGCACAGCCAUUGAAGAGGAUUGGGACAACAUUCCACAGGCCACAAUCAAGUCUACUUAACUCUCUGCAAAGGAGAGGUGUCACUUUGCAUGUGGCAAAUGGUGGUCACACCAGAUACUGACUGGUUUUCUGAUCCAUGACCCUACCUUUUUUUUAAGGAAAGUAAUCAGGGGCUCCCGAGUGGUGCAGAGGUCUAAGGCACUGCAUUUCACUGCUAGAGACAUCACAACAGACCCUGGUUUGACCCCGGGCUGUAUCUCAACUGGCCGUGAUCGGGAGUCCCCAUAGGGCGCCGCAUAAUUGGUCCAGCGUCGUCCGGUUUAGGGCAGGGUUUGGCCUGGGUCCCUUGAAGCUGUCCUCUGACAACCAUCACCUCUGGAUGUUCUACUACCAACAGACCUGCAGUAAUUCAAAUCUCCUUGUCUCCAACACAGUCAAGUUGCUACUCCUCUGGAUAUCCCAUUGUUCCUCCACUGGACCUAAUUAAACACUGAGUAUGAAAUGACUUUCACGGUGUAGUUGUAGGAAAUGUAAACUGUUCUGUUCUAAUGUUGCAUUAAUAUAGAACUAUUCAUGAAAAUACUGUGUAAAAGUGUGUUUCUACGUCAUACAUUGUUUCAAGCCACUCCUUGCAACAUCUGAUGUGAGAUUCAUGUGAGAUGUAUUAUAUUUUUUAGGUUAGUAUAAGGAGUCGGUGUUAUUCCUCAAGCAUCAAUAGGGUAUAUCAUUAAUUGAAAAGACAUUUGAACAGCAGUAAAUAUAGCAGAUUGUAACUAACAUAACACUUGGCCUCCAGUUCUCCUUACUGUACCUCCCUAAAGCUGAAGUGUGCAGUAGUUGCUGAAUUCCCCAUGGAAUACACAAUGAUUGAUGAUCGAAUACUGAGGAAGUGAAGUUGUACUGAUAACAAUUAAAAGUAUAAUUUCUCAAUGAAACCCUGUUUUGAAUCCAGUGUCUCUUAUGGGCUGCAAAUUUUAUUUGUCACAUACACAUGGUUAGCAGAUGUUAAUGUGAG